GGGAGUAUAGCUCAGUGGUAGAGUGCUUGCCUAGAAUACUCAAGACCGUGGGUUCAAAUCCCACCACACACA
This 72-nucleotide transfer RNA is filed under the name Heterocephalus glaber (naked mole-rat). It matches the Rfam family "tRNA". From Rfam's summary of the family: Transfer RNA (tRNA) molecules are approximately 80 nucleotides in length. Their secondary structure includes four short double-helical elements and three loops (D, anti-codon, and T loops). The record is from Rfam by way of RNAcentral. Lineage: Eukaryota; Metazoa; Chordata; Mammalia; Rodentia; Bathyergidae.